GAUGAACGCUGGCGGCGUGCCUAAUACAUGCAAGUCGAGCGAACAGACGAGGAGCUUGCGCCUCUGACGUUAGCGGCGGACGGAUGAUUAACACGUGGAUAACCUACCUCUACGACUGGGGUAACUUCGGGAAACCGGGGCUACUACCGGAUAAUAUAUUGAACCUCGUGGUUCACUAGUUAAAGUCGGUUUUUCUUUCACUUAUAGAUGGCUCCGCGCCUCAUUAACUAGUUGGGAAGGUAGCGGCUUACCAAGGCAACGAUGCGUAGCCGACCUGAGAGGGUGAUCGGCUACACGGGAACUGAGACACGGUCCAGACUCCGACGGUGAGCAGCAGUAGGGAAUCCUCCGCAAUGGGCGAAAGCGGGACAGAGCAACGUCGCGUGAGUGAUGAAGGUCUUCGGAUCGGAAAACUCUGUUAGUAGGGAAGAACAAAUGUGUAAGUAACUAUGAACGUCUUGACGGUACCUAGUCAGAAAGCCACGGCUAACUACGUG
Molecule: ribosomal RNA, 497 nt
Filed under: uncultured bacterium
Lineage: Bacteria
Description: partial 16S ribosomal RNA
Rfam family: Bacterial small subunit ribosomal RNA
Source: RNAcentral